This is a long non-coding RNA of Cornus florida, 744 nucleotides long. RefSeq lists it as uncharacterized. The transcript is spliced from 3 exons. Lineage: Eukaryota; Viridiplantae; Streptophyta; Magnoliopsida; Cornales; Cornaceae. The record is from RefSeq and is a predicted model, not a curated record.
UUUACACGCACAUAUAUAUAUUUAUAUAUCUAUAUUUAAUCCUAGUCAUUUAUUUUCAUCCAUCGGUUGACAAUUUUAUACACUAUUGAAGAUUCUCAUUGUAACCCUCGACGUUACCGUCCUACGCCGAUCAUCGACACCGGUCAUCUUUAUCUCCACUGAUCAUAUUCACCAUCUAGCAGAUUUGCUGUCUUCUCCGACUUUCACUCCUCCUCCGAUUUCGAUUGCCCAAUAUUAUCAAUACAAGAUUCUCACAAAGUGAACACCAUCCAUUUUCAACUUGCAAUAAGUCAACAACAUUGAUCAACUAUUCUAGUUUUUCAUCAGAAAUGGAAGAGACCACCAACACUACUUCAACAGCACAAAGGUGUGCUGUGGUUACCGGGGCCAACAAAGGAAUUGGACUAAAGAUAUGUCGUCAGCUAGCAUCUAAUGGAAUUGCAGUAAUAUUAACAGCCAGAGAUGAGAAGAAGGGUAUUGAAGCUGUUGACAACCUUAAAGUUUCUGGAUUCUCAGAUGUGUUUUUUCAUCAACUUGACGUAAAAGAUCCUGCCAGUUUUGCUUCAUUGGCAAAAUAUGUACAUAACGCAUUUAAAAAAACUUGAUAUCCUGGUGAGAAACAAGAUAUUCCUUACGAAUUAAGUGACUUGACUUUUGCUAUUAAUAUACAUACACAAUGGUUAGCAAGAUGUAUUCAAUUUGAUAACAUAUAAAGAAAUAGAAAAGUGUUGAAUAACAGUACUU